CAGUAGCCGCGGUAAUACGAAGGGUGCAAGCGUUAAUCGGAAUUACUGGGCGUAAAGCGUGCGUAGGCGGUGAGUUAAGUCUGCUGUGAAAUCCCCGGGCUCAACCUGGGAAUGGCAGUGGAUACUGGCUCGCUAGAGUGUGUCAGAGGAUGGUGGAAUUCCCGGUGUAGCGGUGAAAUGCGUAGAGAUCGGGAGGAACAUCAGUGGCGAAGGCGGCCAUCUGGGACAACACUGACGCUGAGGUACGAAAGCGUGGGGAGCAAACAGGAUUAGAUACCCCCGUAGUCCCUGUCUCUUAUAC
Molecule: ribosomal RNA, 301 nt
Filed under: uncultured bacterium
Lineage: Bacteria
Description: partial 16S ribosomal RNA
Rfam family: Bacterial small subunit ribosomal RNA
Source: RNAcentral